GGGGGAUAUUGCACAAUGGAGGAAACUCUGAUGCAGCGACGCCGCGUGAGGGAAGAAGGUAUUCGUAUUGUAAACCUCUGUCUUCGGGGACGAAAUAAAUGACGGUACCCGAGGAGGAAGCCACGGCUAACUACGUGCCAGCAGCCGCGGUAAAACGUAGGUGGCAAGCGUUGUCCGGAAUUACUGGGUGUAAAGGGAGCGCAGGUGGAUAUGCAAGUUGGAUGUUUAAUCUAUGGGCUCAACCCAUAAUCGCAUUCAAAACUGCGUAUCUUGAGUGGAGUAGAGGCAGGCGGAAUUCCAGGUGUAGCGGUGGAAUGCGUAGAUAUCUGGAGGAACACCAGUGGCGAAGGCGGCCUGCUGGGCUCUAACUGACACUGAGGCUCGAAAGCAUGGGUAGCAAAC
Molecule: ribosomal RNA, 402 nt
Filed under: uncultured bacterium
Lineage: Bacteria
Description: bacterial SSU rRNA
Rfam family: Bacterial small subunit ribosomal RNA
Source: RNAcentral